AUACGGAGGGUGCAAGCGUUGUUCGGAAUCACUGGGCGUAAAGGGCGCGCAGGCGGUUGGGUAAGUCAGAUGUGAAAGCCCAUGGCUCAACCCGGGAACUGCAUUCGAUACUGUCAGACUAGAAUAUGGUAGAGGGUAGUGGAAUUCCUGGUGUAGCGGUGAAAUGCGUAGAUAUCAGGAGGAACAUCAGUGGCGAAGGCGGCUACCUGGACCAAUAUUGACGCUGAGGUGCGAAAGCGUGGGGAGCAAACAGGAUUAGAUACCCUAGUAGUCC
Molecule: ribosomal RNA, 274 nt
Filed under: uncultured bacterium
Lineage: Bacteria
Description: partial 16S ribosomal RNA
Rfam family: Bacterial small subunit ribosomal RNA
Source: RNAcentral